RNAcentral lists this long non-coding RNA (15532 nucleotides) under Citrus maxima (pomelo). RNAcentral's name for it is "long non-coding RNA (CMAX_LNC001469)". Lineage: Eukaryota; Viridiplantae; Streptophyta; Magnoliopsida; Sapindales; Rutaceae. The record is from RNAcentral.
AUGGCUGAAGUUGGUGAGGUUUUACGAGAAACGAAAGAUAGUGUUUGUUUGAACAAAGUUGUUGCCAAUCUUGCAGAGUUCGAGAAGAAAGAUCACGAAGCGAAUGCCACCGAUUUCUUCAUCAUUGUAGCCUCCAUAGUUGAAGUUUCCUCAUUUGAAGCUGUUUAUGCAUAUGCUUUUUCCCUUCUCAAGUACAGGAAAUUGAAGAAUUAACCAGAUGUGAUAUGCUGAAAGAGGGAAGUUUUCUUCCUUGAAUGUGACCUUUGUGAUUUGUCUUGAAGGGAUAGGGUGAUCACUGGCAAGAACCCUAUCAAGGUAGAUUUUAUGAUGUUAACAUAUUAUUAAGCAUUUUGUUACAUCAGCAAUGAUGCUUUCAUAGCAUGAAAGUGUUUAAAUUUAACUGAAUGAUCUUGAUUGAUCAAUUAUGAGUUUUAAUCGAGUAAAAACUAAAUACAAUAAUCGUUAACAAAUAUUGAAAUUGGGUAAAUAAGAUCUUGAUAGUGAAGAAUUUGAAAUCACACCCACACAGGAAAUCACCCUUCGCGUGGGGAUGGAGAUGUUUACUGCAGCGAUAUUGAAUAUGUCCACUGCUGGACUAAUUCUGAUUACCUAAUUGACUCAGGAUCGGCUGGCAAUAAUAACAGUUUAUUAACAAUGCACAGUCCGAGUACUUUUCCAGGAUCAGAUACGACGUGGUCUAAUGUUGAUAAUAAUAGAUUAUCAAAUGACAAAUCGUUGUUCUACUAUUGCAAGCCCCCAGAUUUAAGAAUCUUUUUCAGAAAUUAAAUACAUUCUGAGAGAUGCUGGUCUACUAUUGCAAGCCCCCAGAUUUAAGAAUCUUUUGACGGUAAUUUAUCACCUGUAACUGUGCCGGAAGAUUCAACUAGCACUGAAAAAGAUGAUAAAUUAAUUGAUAUGGAGAGUUUUCAUAUCACUUUUAAAUCAUCUUAUGUAAUUGUGAUGUUAGGAAGCAUUAGUGAUCUAUAUGUGAAUUAUUAUUGGCGCCAUUGGUGGUUUUAUCUUGUUAAAAUAUGGAUGAAUUCCAGUUACUAUUUUGUUGCAGACAAUCUUCUUCAAUUAACAUAUGGUUUAAAAUCAUUAUGUAAAUCAAUCUAUUAAUUUUCAAGAUAUUUAACUGAGUUAAAACUAAGUGCACUCAAUAAAUCUCUUUUCCUUUAAAAAACUGUUACGCUUUGAUUUUAGUGCUUAAUAUUUAUUGAACUCCGAUACAGGGAAUUUGAAAUCAAACUCGUAACUACAUAUUAUCUAAUUGCAAGUUUCUAUCCAUAGCUGCUGAUUUGUAGUGAUUAUCUAAUUGACUGAGGUGACGACAAUUUUUUUUUUUUAAAUUUUCAAUAGCACAAUGUGGAAUUCAAUAAUUAAAUUCUCCUUUUUAAUUUGUUUCCAGUUAAAUUAUUAAUUACUUAAACUCUGUUUUAAGUCUUUAAGUUUAUGUGUUUAUGCAGAAUUGGAUUCUUGAGCGUGUUGGACACGACCAACAAUGAAAUUGACAGUAAAAAAAACAAUACAACGUGUGGACUCCGGUAGAUGCCAUACAAGUCUACAACUUUACAAAUAAUAAUUGAGUAAGCAACUUUGAUUCUCGGGGCCCUUCAAUGAAUUUCUAGCCCCGUUGACUCCGCCAACUAAAGUUUGUAAAAUAAAAAAAUACAUAGAAUUCCACUAAAUGCAAAACGCGUGGAAUUUAAUUUUCGGCCAUGUGGACCAAAACAUAAUUUAAUGAAAAAGGAAAAAAAUGAUAAGAUUUCUAAAAUAUGUGAAAGAUGAUCCAUAUUUUACUGAAACGACUUAUUAAAUUUUUCAAAGAUUUAGAAUAUUUAGUCAUAAAUUACGUGCAUGUUAAUUUUUCCGCCAUUGACUAUCAUAUUCUAAACUUAAUAGUACAUUUCUUGUUGAAGGGUACUUAAUCUCUCUUCUCCUCUUAUAAAAAUUAUAUUGAUGGAUUUCUUGUUAUAGUUAAUAGUCUUUAAGAACGGAUAACUUUAUUGUUUUCGUGACCAAAUUAUGUCCGCCUAAGGUUGUGACUAUUAAUAAAAUUAAUAUUUAAUGUUUAUGUUAAAAGAUAUAAGAUUUUAUGCGUUCAUUAAUUGUUAUUAGCUAAAGGAUGAAUUAUUUUUUCAACCCAAUCAGUUGAUGCAUCUGCAAGAGUUUUUUUCUUUUAUUGACCAUAAUUAUGUUCCGGGUACAAUAAAUUGUCUUUGGUGCUUGGAAAAUAUGACUUCUUACUUCAAGUUUGAUAUGUCUCUCUCCAUAAACUUACUGGAAAUAUAUCCUCAUCUACUGUCAUUUAUCUAAUAUCAAUUGAAGAUCUCACUUUUUCAAACUAUCACUUCCAAGUCUCAUUGUCACUUGGCCAUUCUUGGACCAUUCAAAACCAAUCAAGUGUUGAAAUAAUCAAAUAUAUGCAAAAUUAGAGUCACGAUUUUUGGUCCCCCAAAUUCUAAUUAUAUAACUUCUAUAUAUUUCAUUGCCAGGUCACGAACUUGUUGGCACAUUUUCCAAAUUCCUCUUCCAUCAGCUCUCACACGUUAACUUAAGUGAAAAGUUUCCAAGUUGAUUGCUAGAAAGCAACGCAAAAUCAGACACACUUGAUCUGUCCCCUAAUUCUCUUUUCUACGUUGAAAAAGAAAAAAAAAAAUAAAAUACAUACAUACAUAUAUAUAUAUAUAUAUAUAUAUAUAUAUAUAUAUAUAUAUAUAUAUAUCUAUGUAAAAAUAAAUAAUAAACUGAGUAAAAGUACAUUUGUUUAAUUAACAUCUGAUCGGGGCAUUUUUGGUGUAAGCCACAACUAAAAUCAAACAGCCCCUUAGCAUACUUCUUCCAUUUUAUCGGCUACUUUUGUGGAUCUUAUAGGGUGGGCAUGUGGACAGAAUUUAAAAGUUUUAAUAGGCUCAAAGAAGAAGAUGUGUUAAAUCUAAAGUUGUUGCACCUUCUGAUUAAAUAAAGUUGUACAAUUUCAUCAACUUGAAAGAAUUGACAUUAAUGAACUGGUCGCCUCUCCAUGUAUGAAGCCUUCUUAAAAGUUAAUUUUUAUUUCAGAAAAAAAAAGUUUAAGUUACAUAUAUUACAGUAAGAUUUUUUGAGACCAAUUCCCUUCUUGAAAUAAUAAUAGAAAAGUAUUAAUUUAAAAAUAAAAUGAAUAUGUAUUGAUUAUAUCCUGAUUUUCAUCGAUUAUAGUUAGAGUUUCACCAAAUCAAUUCCCUUAUUCAAAUAAUACAGAAAAAAUAGUAAUUUAAUAGUAAAAUAAACAGGUGUUGAUUAUAUAUCCUAAGUUUCAUCGAUUAUGUGAUCAAAGUGGCAUUGUUGAUUUAUUUUUUGUUCAAUGUUAAUUUUUAGGUUAUAUAAAUUUCAAGGAUUUAAAAUCUUUGGCCAUGAAUUACACGCUUGUUAAUUUUCCUGCCAUUGACUGUCAUAUUCUAGACUUAAUGAUACCUUUCUUGAUCAAGGGUAAUUACUCUCUCUUCUCCUCUUAUAAAUUCCUCUUCCAUUAACAUCACUAGGAGUAUGUUGAUCUCUCAGACGUUAACUUGAGUGGAGAGUUUCCAAAUUGAUUGUUACAAAACAACACAAAAACUAGACACACUUGAUCUGUCUAAUAAUUCUCUUUCGGUAAAAUUAAAUAAUUUUAGGGGAAUAUUCGGCCAACCUCUAUAAUUUCAUAGUGAUCAUUAAUUAAUUAAUCGAUACAAAUAUCUAAAGUGAUUAAAUGUGACUUGAAAUUUGAUCUCUAUCGAUUGGUUUACAAAUGGACGUACUUGUGCCUUUGUGGCGAUAAUCGAACAAGUACCCAUGAUUAUUAUUUUUUCCAAAAACUUUUUUACAACAAAUUCAUCUCGUCAAAAAUUCUAUGUUGCUAACUAACAAUAAUUGAGCACUUGGCCGCAUUGACUCCACGUCUCCACCUCUUUCUAAAUUCUAAGUAAAAACAUGGAAAUGUAAUUUCCACAAAAUGCCAAAUGUGUGGAAUUUAAUUUUUUGCCUUGUGGAUCAAAAUACAAAUGAAAGAAACAGAAGAAAAAAAAGGCCCAAAGACUUCUAAAAGAUGAAGAAGUCUUUGUGCCUUUUUAUAAUGGUGAAUUUUUUUAAAGAAAAAAAAUAACAACAUUUUUAUGGUUUGUUUUGAUAAUCAUAUUUACAUAUACUCUCUAAUUUCAAAAUGGACACAUAAAUCUUUUUUUUUUACAAAAUAUAUAUUAUUCAUAUUUUUUUUAUUUUUUUAUUAUCAUAUUUUUAUUUAUUAUAAAUGUUUAGAGCAAAUUUUUAGGUUGAAAUAUAAUAAAAAGGUAUAAUUGUUCUCUUAUUAAACACACAUACUUUUAUUAGUUUCUAUCCAUUUGUCAUCUCAAUCUCUCUCAAUUAUUCUUUAUUGCUAGCUCAAAACGCGUUGCUGUUGCAAAUUAUAGCAAAAUGACAAAUAUGGAAAAAAAGGGAAGAAAAUUAAUGCAUGAAAGACUUGGAGAAAACAACAAAAUAAGCCAACUAUGAGCUAGUUGGGUGUAUAAAUUGUUAGAUGUGUUAUAUACAAAUAGCGUAGAGCCCUCUAGUUGGUUCCAGAGACAGAAAGAGCGUGUGUGUUUUUUCACAGUUAGAGAUAUAGUUAGAAUGGGUGGUUCAAAAUCAAAAAUGAUGAUAAUGUUUAUUAUGUUAUUAAUAAUAUUUAAAAGUGGGUGGAGUGAGGGAUGUUUGGAUCACGAGAGAUUUGCUUUUUUGAGACUCAAACAUUUCUUCAAUGAUCCUCUUAAUUCUCUUUACGACUGGGUAGAUGGUGAGGGAGCUACUGAUUGUUGUCAGUGGGAAAGGGUUGAGUGCAGCAACACCACAGGCCGAGUGAUAGCACUGGACCUUUCUUAUAUAUAUUCGGAGAGUACAGCUGGUAUCUGAAUGCUUCUUUAUUUACUCCCUUCCAACAACUUGAGUCACUUGAUUUAACUCAAAACAAAAUAGCCGGAUGUGUUGAGAAUGAAGGUACUUUGUUUAAUUUAAUUAAUUUACUUUCUCCCCCCUAAUUUAAGUUGAAUAUCAAGACCGAGCAAUUAUAUGCAUAUUCAUUUAGUCGACAAUUUUGACUUUUUUUUAAAUGAUUAAUUUUGAAAUUACACCAGUAUCUAUGAUCUUUUUUAUUUUAUUUUAUUUGCAGGUAUAGAGAGGCUAUCAAGAUUGAACAACUUGAAGAUGCUUAAUUUAAGUCGAAACUCAUUCAAUAAUAACAUUUUAUCAUCUCUAACUCAUCUUUCAUCAUUAAGAUCAUUAAAUUUAUUGUGGAAUAGAUUGGAAGGAAGUAUUGACGUUAAAGGUACAUAAUUAAAACUUCAAGCUCUUUCAUUAACUUGCUAAAAUAAGAUUCAAGGCUUUGAAUUCAAUUUUUUUUAUGAUUAAUAUUAAAAAAAACAGUUUUAAGCAAUUUAUAAAUACAAGUUUUAAUGUUUCUUGUAAUUUCAUCUUGUACUUUCAUAUGUCUUGAAUUUAAGAUUAAAAAAAAAAACUCUAAUAGCGAACCAAACACCUCCACAACUUAUUAUUAUUAUUUUAAUUUGUGGUGAGGUUUGAAACAUUCAACUCAAUUUGUACUUAUUACAGAAUUUGAUUCUUUGAGAGAUUUAGAGGAGCUAGACAUUGGCGGGAACAAGAUUGACAAAUUUGUGGUCUCAAAAGGUACUACAAAUACCAUAAAAAAAUAUGCUAACUUUUACAAAUUAGUUAGAUUCUUUGCCAUUUGGUUUAUUAUUUUACAGGUUUGAGUAAGUUGAAGUCUCUUGGUUUAAGUGGUAUCAAACUCAAUCGUAGCAUCUUAUCUUCUCUUUCUUCGUUAAGAGAAUUAGAUAUAAGUCGUACGGGAUUCAAAGGAACAUUUGAUGUUCGAGGUAAGCCUAAACCUUGCUUUCUCAUUUUAUAUAUGCCAACUAGAUUUGUGUAUCAUCGACAUAAUUUAAUAUUUAAUUUGAUAAGUCUGAAUGAAUUACAUGCUAAUUUAAACACACUUUUAUUUACUUUGUCAAUUAAUUAAUUAAUUAAUUACUAUUUGGCUUGGUUUGGACGAAAUUCUCAUGAUGUUUUUAAUUUCUUUAAAUUAAUUAAUUAAUUAACUCUGUUUUUAAGUCUUAAGUCUGGGCAUGUUUGCAGAAUUGAUUCCUUCAAUAACUUAGAAGUGUUGGACAUGAGUUGGAACGAAAUCGACAAUCUUGUGGUUCCUCACGGUAAACAAUUAAAAUGUUAUUCAAUUACAUUAUUUUAAUUCAUUUGAUUAGGGAAGGCCAAAAAGGUAAAAAAAAUAAUAAUAAAGAAACAGAGAAUUUGUAUUAUUUAAAAAACAGAAUGUAAUAAAGAUUUUGAUUCUGGUUCUUUAAUCUUUAAAGUGAUUGAAAACAAUGUUGCUCUUUUCCCAAAGCAUCAAAUACGAAUUGAAUGCCAAUUAACUUAAUCAUUCAUUUCGUUUAGCUCUAAAUUUAGACAAUGAAUUUUUAUAUUAUUUCAAAAACAUGACGUAAUAGAAUUUUUUUAAAAACAGAUUCUAAUAAAGAUUUGAUUCCAAUUCUUUAAUCUUUACAGUGAUUGAAAAACGAUACUACUCUUUUCCCAAAGCAUAAAUACGAAUUGACUCCCAAUCAAAUUAAUCAUUUAUUUCGUUCAUCUCUGAAUUUAAAUAAUGAAUUUUGAUCUUCAAUCGUAUUAUAAUUACUAUUAAAGAACAGGUUACAGAGGUUUGAGGAAGUUGAAUCAUCUUGAUCUAUCGGGAGUUGGAAUUAGAGAUGGAAGCAAGUUGUUACAGUCAAUGGGAUCAUUCCCAUCCCUCAACACUCUUUACCUUUCGUGGAAUAAUUUUAUCGAUACAGCGACCGCUACUCAAGGUAAGUAAAAGGUACAAAUGUGGCCAAAUUUAUAAAUAAAUUGUUAAUUAAUUAAUUUUUCCGUAUUAUUAAUUAAGCUAAAUUUGUUGCUCCUUCCUUCUAAAUCUAAACAGAGUUGCACAAUUUCACCAACUUGGAAUAUUUGACAUUGGACUUUUCCUCUCUCCAUAUAAGCCUUCUCCCAAAGCAUUGCAUCAUUAUUCCCUUCGUUAAAAAAUCUGUCGAUAUCUCAUUGUGAAGUCAAUGGUGUCCUACGCGGUCAAGGUAAAAGAAAAUCGUUGAUUGUGAACUCACUCAAUGGUGUCCUACGUGUUCAACAUUUUUAUUUAUUUAUUGUUUAAUGUUUCUGCUAGGUUUUCCUCAUUUCAAGAGUUUGGAACAUUUGGAUAUGGAUUACACGCGCAUUGCACUCAACACCGGCUUUCUUCAAAUCAUCGGUGAAUCGAUGCCUUCUCUUAAGUACUUAUCACUGUCAAGGUUAAUCUAUAAAUCGAUGCCUUCUCUUGAUCAAGGUUAAUCAGAUGCUCCCACUCUCCCCUCUUAAUCUAUAAUAUUAAUUUUCAAUUCAAUAUUUAAUUACACAAACGAAUCACUUAUUAUAAAAGAAUAAUACGCAUUCAUUAAUUUUUAUAUUGUAUUAAUAAUUGAUGAAUUUAAUAACUUUUCAGGUCUCUGUUCGUUGGUGCAUCUGCAAGUGUUGAACAUUGCAGGCAAUGAUUUAAGAGGUAGCUUGCCUUGGUGCUUGGCAAAUAUGACAUCCCUCCGAAUAUUAGAUGUUUCUUCCAAUCAACUUACUGGAAGCAUCUCCUCAUCUCCCCUCGUUCAUUUGACAUCCAUUGAAGAGCUGAUGCUUUCAGACAAUCACUUCCAGAUCCCAAUUUCACUUGAACCAUUUUUCAAUCACUCACGACUCAAGAUUUUCCAUGCUUACAACAACGAAAUAAAUGCAGAAAUAACUGAGUCACAUUCUUUGACUGCCCAAACUUCCAAUUAAAAUAUCUCUCAUUGUCUUCCGGUUACGGAGAUGGUGUCACAUUCCCCAAAUUCCUUUACCAUCAACAUGAUCUGGAGACUGUUGACCUCUCACAUAUAAACAUGAGGGAGAAUUUCCAAAUUGGUUGUUGGAAAACAACACAAACUUAGAAAUAUUUUUUGGUUAAUGAUUCUCUUGCAGGACCUUUCCGGUUGCCAAUUCAUUCACACAAGCGGUUAAGACUGUUGGAUAUAUCCAACAACAACAUCAGAGGCCACAUUCCAGAAAUUGGAGAUGUUUUACCGGGUUUAUUUUCUUUAAACAUUUUCAUGAAUGCUUUAGACGGUUGCAUUCCCUCUUCAUUUGGUAAUAUGAAAUUCCUCCAAUUUNNNNNUUAAUUAAUUAANNNNNGAUGGGAAAUUGAAACAAGAAUUUGAGAAUUGGAAAUCGAAAACGUCCGCAUUGACCGUGCCUUUGAGGGCAAUUACUUUUCUUGAGAAUUGAAGUUUGGUAAUGUAAUUUGUUCUCCAUCUGUGUUCCCUUUGUAGUCAUUUCAUUUAUUUGUUUGUUUGCUUUUAUUUGCAGGAGAAAUUGAUCCUCGAGAUAAAAGUAAAUUGUCUUUAAGCUCAUUUAGUUUUAUAUCAAACAAAAUCAAGACUGCCUUUUUCUUCAAUAGUUUUGAUGAUUAUCUUUAGAAGCAUCUCAUUGACAGGUAAUCGUGGUACCCCUUAAAGAGUCUAUAAACUCAAGGAUAUUAUCUUCUGCAAAUGGUUCAUUAAACUUCUUAGAUGUAGUUAAAUGUACACUGAGAACAACGAGAAGCUAUGCCACUGUAGCAAUGUAUGAUGGCACUUAAUGAGUGAGUUGCUAGGAUAUGAACUAGAAAAAUUAAACAUUGUCUCCCUGGGUAUGCUAGCUUGUAAGUCGGUUAAUAUUAGAGCUUGAGAUACUAUAACCAUGAGAAGCUAUUGACCGCCGAUUAAAAUAUCCAUUAAAAUGUCUAGGGAGUUAUGAAGGUGGAGGUGUCUCCCAAUUUCUAAGGCCAUAUAGUAGACAUCAUCCAGGAUCCUAUUUAAAGUGCAGUUAGCCUCCUGCUUGAUGCUAAUGUCAAACAAUUAAUAAAUUUGGUCAAUGUAACUGAAACUUGCUAACUGACGUCAGAUUGCGACUUGAGCACCUUAAAAUGGGAUAGACGAUUAGUAGCACUGAAUUCUUCUUGCCUAAGAUUGAGCAAUUGUUCUAACUACAAUCUCCUAUUGUAGGUUGAUUAUUAUGUUCUAAUUAUGUCGAUUUUGACCCAAAAAAAUUACAUAAUCUUGAUCUGCAUAAUGUCACUGAACAGUGUCAAUUUCGUUUACCAACUAACUUGAGUUUGAUAUAACAAACACACGGUGUGUCUCUCAUGUCUCACCAUGAUGGAAUUUUUCUAAUGCAUGAAGCAAGCUUCGAUAUGUGGGUUAGCUUGGAGAAGAUAUCUUAAAAUGAAGAAUAUGGGAGUUAAUGGGAAGAAACAGUUCAGUAGUUUAUAAUUCUGUCGUCGAGCUGUAUCUCUAACAUGGUCAAAAUUUAUGUGAAUAAGGACAGGGAAUCUUCAUUCCUCUUUCCCUUUUUAUACCCACAUAUCUCUCAACCUUUAUAUGUUGCUCACUGGAGAUCUGCUUCUGAUAACUAAAAUAAAAAUUUCAUCCACUCAAAUAAAUUCUGACCAAGCUUUCACAAGAAAAAGUAACAUCUUUAGUGAAGUAAUUUACAAGUAAUUUAGAGUUCCUUAUCAUCUUCUUGUGAGUCUAUCAGUAUGAUCCAAAAACAUAAUAAAUCUUGUUAGAUCCUGUUUAUUGAUGUUUAAACGCUGCUCAUUGUGAAAUGUAGAAACAAUGACGUGAAGUUUCUUUGGUCAUCAAUUAGUGAGAUCUUGUUUGAAGUUGUUUUCUGAAAUGAACUGCCAAAUGAUAGUUUUUUUUUUUUUUUCUUUGGACGCAUUUGAUGGCUCUUUCUCCUCAUUUAAGCAAUGUGCCUGCUUGGUAUGGGAAGGAAUAGGCUUCAGAGUUGUUAUAUAUGUUGACAUGCUCUGGUCAUUACACAAUAUGUUCAAAUUGGAAAUUAGAAUGAGAUAUUUGUCGAUGCUUUUUGAGAGAUCUGCAUUCUAUGCAGCAUAACAUGAUUAAUGAAAAUGGGUUUAAGGACUGGAAAGAUCUGUGGCAGCCCAAGCUUGCAGGAAGGAUUUCAAUGGUUAAUUCUCCCAGAGAGGUUAUUGGUACAGUUUUGAAGUAUAUGGGAGCAUCAUACAAUUCAAACGCAUUAAUUAGCAAGUUGCUGCUGGGAGGAUUGCUGUUCAGCAGAAUCUGGCAUUACUGGGAAACCAGGUACUCUUAAAGAAACGAUAGCUGGUCAAUGCAUAUUAUUUGCCUGACGGCUGAUUUUGUUUGUAAAGUGUGCCUUUUCAUACAUAUGAAUGCAUAUGUUAGUGUUGUCUUCUUCUUUCCAUAAAUAUGAAUGCAUAUGUUGGUGUUCUUUUCUGAGAUGGAUGCAAUAAAGGCUUUUUCUUCUAAAUGACGAGUUUUCAUUUAAAAAUGUUAUAAAUCUGCCAUGCAUAGUAUUCUAGUAGAAUCAUCUAUAAAUUCAAGUUAUUGAAAUUGUCUAUUUGUCCAGUUUGAGUUAAGGACGCAUGUAAUAUGAAAAAUAGUUGUCGAAUAUUGUAGGUUAGCUAAUAUUUGAUCAAUCCUAUAGGGAGGGCUUUAAGAUGUCUAACAACAUGUAGAAUGCCCCUGCUUCCCCCACAAUUUUUAUCUUAUACAAUUUUUAUCUAUAAACAGUAUUUGCCAGACCUUAACUGUUCAGAUUCCCCUUCUCGACUAUCAUACCCUACGCCCCGUCUCCGUGUCUCCGAUAAACAGUGCUCAAUUAAGGCCAUCAGAUUAUCCCGGUCCCACAUUGAUCAACGGCUCACAAUGACCGACAACCUCUGUCUCCAUUACAAGCUCCCUCUUCAACUCGCUUCUGCUUCCAUCCUACUCUUUCUCAGAUUCGGAGCCCGUAUAUGCUCGGCUGGUCCCACGAAGCUCCCUCUCACUCCAGCUGUCAACCGACAAGACCAAUUGCCUUAUCAAGACAGAGAAAAAAAGAGGAUGAGAAAUUGAAACAAGAAUUUGAGAAUUGGAAAUCGAAAACGUACUCAUUGACCGUGCCUUUGAGAGUUGUUUCUCUUCAGAAUUCAGUGCCUCAAUCUUGGGUUAAGGAUUUUAUGCGAAGUCAAGGAAAGUGAUUGAAGUUUCAGAUGAAUUUGUGUGCUAGCAUUGGUGGGAUCUUUAACAAUUUAUCUGCCCUUUAACAAAGUCAAGGCUAAUUCAGCUUCUUAUAUGGCUGCUGAUUUGGUUAGUGUUGGUGAUUCAUGGCUUAGUUUUGCCAUUAAAGAGAGAUUGAUUGAGCCAAUGGCUGGAGCUGAAGACCAAGAUUGGUUCAAAUGCUUAAGUCACAAAUGGAAGGUAACAUCUUUAUCUUUGGCCCGAUAAUUUUUAUUGUCUUACAUUGAAAUUUGGUAAUGUAAUUUGUUCUCUAUCUGUAUUACCCUUUUUAGUCGUUUUAUUUAUUUGUUUAUUUGCUUUUAUUUGCACUAACGAAGUCUCAGGUAUAUCUAUGCAGAAUGAUGCAGGAGAAAUUGAUCCUCGAUGUGAAAUAUGGGCGGCACCAUACAGGUGGGGCACAAUGGUGAUAGCCUACAAGAAAAGUAAAUUUCGAAAGCAUAAUUUGGCUCCGAUUGAGGUAAUAAUUGUCUUUAAACUCAUUUAGUUUUAUAUCAAACAAAAUCAAGACUGCCUUUCUCUUCAAUAUUUUUGAUGAUAAUAUCUUUAGAAGCAUCUUAUUGAUGGGUAAUAAUUGUAUCCCUGAAACAGUCUAUAAACUCAAUGAUAUUAUCUUCUACAAAUGGCUCAUUAAACUUUGUCGUUGUAGUCAAAUGUACACUCAGAGCAAUGACAAGCUAUGCCACUGUGUAGCAUGUAGUGAUGGCACUUAAUAAGUGAGUUGCUAGGAUGUGAACUAGAAAAAUUAAAUAUUGUCUCCCUGGGCAUGCUAGCUCAUAAGUCAGGGUUAAUAUUAGAACUCAAGAUACUAUAACCAUGAGAAGCUAUUGACUGCCAAUUAAAAUAUCCUUUAAAAUGUCUAGGAAGUUAUGAAGGUGGAAGUAUCUUCCGAUUUCUGAGGCCACAUGGUAGAUAUCAUCCAGGAUCCUAGUACAGUGCAGUUAACCUCCUGCUUGAUGCAAUUAAUAAAUUUGGUCAAUGCCACUGAAACAUGCUAACUGACGUCGCAAUGCGACAUGAGCACUUCAAAAUGGGACAGACGGUCGGUAGCACUAAAUUUUUCUUGCCUAAGAUUGAGCAAUUGGUCUAACUACUAACCCCUUUUGUAGUUGAUCAUUAUUUUUUCAAUUAUUUUCAGUUUGACCCAAAACGUUACAGAAUCUUGAUCUGAAUAUUGUCACUGAACAUUGUCACUGAACAUUGUCAAUGUCGUUUAGCGUAGCCAACUAACUUGAGUUUGGUAAAACAACACACAGUGUGUCUCAUGUCUCACAAUUCAAAUUAUCAUUUGUAAUGAUGAGAAUUUUUCCAAUGUAUGAAGUAUGCUUUGAUACGUGGGUUACCUUGGGGAAGGUAUCUCAAAAUAAAGAAUAUGGGGAGAAAACAGUUCAGUAGUUUAUUAUUAUGUAGUCAAGUUUUGUCUCAAAAAUGGUCCAAAUUUAAAUGAAUAAGGAGGGGAUCUUCAUUCUUUUUUCCCUUUUUUAUACCUAGAUAUCUCUCAACCUUUAUAUAAUCCCCACUGGAUAUCUGCUUCUAAUAAUUAAAAUAAAAAUUUCACCCACACAAAUAAAUACUGACCAAGCUCUAACAUAUAAAAGUAACUUCUUUAGUCAAGUGAUUUACAGUUCCUCAUCACCUUAGUGAGACUAUCAGUGUGUUCCAAAAACAUAAUAAAAUUGGUUUGUUCCUGUUUAUUGAUGUUUAAAUGUUGUUCAUUGUGACAUAGAAAUGAUGAGGCGAAGUUUAUUUGGUCAUCAAUUUGUAGAUCUUGUUUGAAGUUGCUUUCUGAAAUGAACUGCCAAAUGGUAGUUUCUUUGGGGCAUUUGAUGGCUCUUUUUUCCUCAUUUUAAACAUGUGCCUGCUUGGAACAGGAAGGAUUAGGCUGCAGAGUUGUUAUAUAUUUUGACAUGCUCUAGUCAUUGCACAAUUUGUUCACACUGGAAACUAGAAUGAGAAAUUUGUUGCAUUCUAUGCACAAUAACAUGAUUAAUGAAAAUGGAUUGUAGGACUGGAAAGAUCUGUGGCAGCCUGAGCUCGCAGGACGAAUUUCAAUGGUUAAUUCUCCCUGAGGUUAUUGGUUUAGUUUUGAAGUAUAUGGGAGCAUCAUACAAUUCAAACGAUAUUGAUUCAAGUUGCUGGUGGGAAGAUUGCUGCUGCUCAGCAGAAUCUGGCAUUACUGGCAAACCAGGUACUCUCAAAGAAAUAUCUUUGCAUGUUAUUACCUGACAACUGAUUUUGUUUGUAAAAGUCUGCUUCUUCAUACAUAUGAAUGCAUAUGUUAGUGUUUCUUCUCCUUUUCAUACAUAUGAAUGCAUAUGUUGCUUCUUUUCCUUUCCAUACAUAUUAAUACAUAUGUUGGUGUUCUCUCCUGAGAUGGAUGCAAUAAAGGUUUUUCUGAAGAAAUGGCAAGGGAUGUGAGAUUCUGUCUCAUAAAAUUAACAAAAACCCAAAACAAUGAAAACCCAUAAUAAUGUGGUGUGGGUAAAUUGACGCCAUUUGGUUCGUUUCCUUGAUGUGAAUACGCGGGCAAUAGAGACUAACAAAAUGAAGUGACAACAAGAAGUCAGUGUCCUUUGAUGGAUGCAUUUUUAGGCAGAAAUAGGUUUGUAAUUGACCAAAUUUGUCUGGCAUGCCAAUUUCAAAAAAAUUAAAUUAUGUGGUUAUUAGCUGUAAUGAAGGGGGAUUGUAGGUCCAAUCAGGUGGAUCCAUGAAAGUUCAACAAAGUUCUGGUAUGGCGUAGAAAUUGGUUUGUGGCAACUCAAGAGUCUUUCUGGUGAACGAUGAUGGGUUUGAUUUAUAAAUGUUAUAAAUCUACUGUGCAUAGUAUUCUAGUAGAAUCAUCUAUAAGUUCUAGUUAUUGAAAUUGUCUACCUUGUUCAGUUUGAGUUAAGGGCACAUGUAAUAUGAAAAAUAGUUGUUGCAUCUUUUAGGUUACCUAACAUUUGAUCAAUCCUAUUAUGAGGGCUUCAAGAUGUCUAACAAUAUGUGGAAUGCCCAUGCUCCUCCCCAUUGUUUAUCUUAUAUAAUAAUUUGUUUUAGAUGCUAAUAUCUUUGUCGAUACGGUAACAAUAUUACAAUAUCUGCGUUUAUUGGGUUUUACAUAGGUUCGACUGUUUGACAGUACACACUCUCUGAAGGCAUUUGGAAAUGGAAUGUAUGGAUUGCUGUUGGGUGGAGUAGUGAUGUUCUUCCUGCUGUCAAACGUAUGUCUAAUGUUGCAGUUGUUGUUCCCAGUCUGGUGCUAGCUUAUGGGCUGAUCUUUGGGUAUACCCAUGCCUGCCAUUCUACUUCAAUAUUCACAUUGUUAUCUCCUUCAUAUUAGUGAUCAGUAACACGAUAAUGUGACUAAUAAGUUCGUAUUCUCUUUAUAGGCAAUCCCUGCUGCCUCAAGACUGAAACAAAACAAAUUGGAGGCGAGUCAGAGGUGCAUUUCCAUUAAUCCAUCAAUGGAUAGAAUUCUGCUUGCAAACAGCGAGAGCAUUGCCUUUCAAGCAAGAGGUUAUCCCGAGCGCAUCUCCCUCUGCCCUUGAGAGUACUCUGGUUAAGUUGCCUGAAGAACUUUUGAAGGGUAAACCAAGUCUGGAUACUAACUUAAUUGCUGAGUACCCUGACGGAAAUUCUGGCCAGAUGUGAGUUUUUGGAGCCAUUAUCUGAAGCUACAUUGUCGGAUUAUGAGUGGCUGGUUGCUAAUCUGCAAAAAUCCACUCCUGUACUGAUCAACAAGAUGCAACAUUACAUGUCAUCAUUGAUCUUUAGCUAAAGGUACAUUGAAAAGUUAAUGGCACUGCAUACCAGUCAUUAUAAUUGGGUCAGGCAAUUGGGUCAGGGCAAUUGGGUCAGGGCAAUUAGGUCAGAGCAUAACUUCAUUAGGAAAAGAGGCUUCAGCUACGUUAAAUAUUACAGGAUGUACUGAUGGCUGAAGUUGUUGACGUUGUACGAGAAACGAAAGAUGAGUGUUUGUUUUGAACAAAGUUGUUGCCAAUCUUGCAGAGUUCGAGAAGAAAGAUCACGAAGCAAAUGCCACCGAUUUCUUCAUCACUGUAGCCUCCAUAGUUGAAGUUUCCUCAUUUGAAGCUGUUUAUGCAUAUGCUUUUUCCCUUCUCAAGUACAGGAAAUUGAAGAAUUAACCAGAUGUGAUAUGCUGAAAGAGGGAAGUUUCUCCCUUGAAUGUGGCCUUGUGAUUUGUCUUGAAGGAAUAGGAUGAUCACUGGCAAGAACCCUAUCAAGGUAGAUUUUAUGAUGUUAACAUAUUAUUAAGCAUUUUGUUACAUCAGCAAUGAUGCUUUCAUAGCAUGAAAGUGUUUAAAUUUAACUGAAUGAUCUUGAUUGAUCAAUUAUGAGUUUUAAUCGAGUAAAAACUAAAUACAAUAAUCGUUAACAAAUAUUGAAAUUGG